AUAGCGUGCCAUGGAGACGGUUGUGAAAUAAAAUCUUGUUAAAGAAAUCAUAUUUGAGUUCUCAUUCUUCGCAUCUUUACGGUUCAAUGGCGAAACCAAAAUAGAAUAAGAAGUUUUCUGUUUAUCGAACAACUUGUCCAACGGGAAGUGCUCCCGAAAAUAUAGAGUGAAGCUAACAUGCAGCGGAGAGCAUUACUGUAAAAGUUUUGUGUAACAAUGUGUAAUGUUGCCAUUUCUAUGCGCAAAAU
This 248-nucleotide unclassified non-coding RNA is filed under the name Melitaea cinxia (Glanville fritillary). RNAcentral describes it as "misc RNA ENSMCXG00005008344.1". The record is from RNAcentral. Lineage: Eukaryota; Metazoa; Arthropoda; Insecta; Lepidoptera; Nymphalidae.